This 73-nucleotide transfer RNA is filed under the name Phycisphaerae bacterium. Its description in RNAcentral is "tRNA-Thr". It matches the Rfam family "tRNA". From Rfam's summary of the family: Transfer RNA (tRNA) molecules are approximately 80 nucleotides in length. Their secondary structure includes four short double-helical elements and three loops (D, anti-codon, and T loops). Lineage: Bacteria; Pseudomonadati; Planctomycetota; Phycisphaerae. RNAcentral also lists the same sequence under 2 other names. The record is from RNAcentral.
GCCACCGUAGCUCAGUUGGCAGAGCAGCGGUUUUGUAAACCGCAGGUCGACGGUUCGAGUCCGUCCGGUGGCU